ACUAUUUUGGCAGAAAAAUGUAAUGAUUUUAGAAAUCAUAAAUAUAUAAAAUUUUUAUAUAUAUAGUA
RNAcentral lists this transfer RNA (68 nucleotides) under Dichomeris ustalella. RNAcentral describes it as "tRNA-Leu". The record is from RNAcentral. Lineage: Eukaryota; Metazoa; Arthropoda; Insecta; Lepidoptera; Gelechiidae.